UUUAACAUGCUAGUCGACGGCAGCACGAGAGACUUGUCUUCUUGGUUUCGAGUGGGGUCUGCUGAGUUAUGUUCGGUCGUGACCGUAGCGGGUGUUACUACUCGAAGAUGCUAUACAGGAUACGCCUACGGGUAGGGAUACGCUCAUUCUCCUAUGGACGCCGUUCGGUACUAGUGUGGGUAAAGCCUCCAAGCGCGACCGUGCUGUUGAGAGGCGCCACCCCUGGGCUGAGCCGGCCAGAUCUCGGGAGCACAGUGGGGAUUUUGGCAAUGGGGGAACCCUGACCAGCCUCCCGCGUGUGUGAUGAAGGCUUCGGGUUGUAAAGCACUUUUGACAGGGAAGAAAUACGGAGGCUAAUACCUCUGAAGAUGACGGUACCUGUAGAAUAAGCACCGGCUACUACGUGCCAGCAGCCGCGGUAAUACGUAGGGUGCAAGCGUUAAUCGGAAUUACUGGGCGUAAAGGGUACGCAGGCGGCUAGGAAAGAAAGAUGUGAAAUCCCAGGGCUCAACCUUGGAACUGCAUUUUUAACUACCUAGCUAGAGUAUGUCAGAGGGGGGUAGAAUUCCACGUGUAGCAGUGAAAUGCGUAGAGAUGUGGAGGAAUACCGAUGGCGAAGGCAGCCCCUGGGAUAAUACGACGCACAGUACGA
This 652-nucleotide ribosomal RNA is filed under the name Alcaligenes sp. p4(2016). RNAcentral's name for it is "bacterial SSU rRNA". It matches the Rfam family "Bacterial small subunit ribosomal RNA", at positions 49 to 756 of the family's 1533-position model. The record is from RNAcentral. Lineage: Bacteria; Pseudomonadati; Pseudomonadota; Betaproteobacteria; Burkholderiales; Alcaligenaceae.